ACCUCCACUCAGGCAAGAUUACCCGCCGAACUUAAGCAUAUCAGUAAGCGGAGGAAAAUAAAACAACAGUGAUUUCCCUAGUAACGGCGAGUGAAGCGGAAAAAGCCCAGCAUUUAAUCUCUCUCUUGUAGAGCGAAUUGUAAUGUACGAACUAGUACUUAUGUAAACAGGGCAACUACCAAAGUUUUCAGGAAUGAAGCGCCACAGAGGGUAAUAGCCCCGUAUCUGGUAGUUGUCUAUGCCCCUAAUGCUAGAUUCUCGAGUCGGACUGUUUGGGAUUGCAGUCUAAACGAUGGUGAACUAUGCAUGAGCGGUGGUAGACUCCAUCCAAGGCUAAAUAUAAGCACAAAACCGAUAGCGAACAAGUACCGUGAGGGAAAGUUGAAAAGAAUUCUGAAAAGAGAGUUAAAAGUACGUGAAACCGUUAACAGGGAAGCGGAAGGCUGUGUCGAGACGGUACAAGGCGUGGUGACUAAUGUCUUUUUUAAAGAUUCAUUAGGUAGCUUUGUCUUGUACGUGCGUCAGACAUGUCGUUUCCUGCAGUCAAAGUAGUCAUGGUUGUAACUUCCUUCGGGUUGUUGCUGCGGUCUGCAUUGGAUUGUCGGAGAUGGCAUAUGAUUGCCUAUGUUGAUCAUAUGUAAGUAUUUCUUACUAGUGUUGCGUCUAAUUGUCGUAGGGUUAGUAAAAAGUGCUUCUGAUCAGCGUAGGUCUGGCGAGAUACCUAGUCUUCCGACCCGUCUUGAAACACGGACCAAGGAGGCAGAAGCUAGAGCGAGUUGGAGGGUGCAAAACCCGACGGCAAAGUGAAAGCAAUAAAUGAGACUGCGUUUAGGCGUGGGCAUCAUUGACCAGUACUUUAGUACUGAGUUAGAGCUCUAGCUGCUGAACCCGAAAGAUGGUGAACUAUGCAUGAGCAGAACAAAGUCAGGGGAAACUCUGAUGGAAGUUCGAAGCGAUUCUGACGUGCAAAUCGAUCGUUAGACUUGUGUAUAGGGGCGAUAGACUAAUCGAACCAUCUAGUAGCUGGUUCCCUUCGAAAUAUCCCUCAGGAUCGCUGAGACAAGUAAAGCAGUUUCAUCGGGUAGAGCUAAUGAUUAGAGGAAUUGGGGACGUUAUGUCUUCAACCUAUUCUCAAACUCCCAACUGGUGAUUGUGUUAUUUUCUCAAAUGAAAUGACACAUUGAAUGCUUUUGUCUCAAGUGGGCCAUUUUUGGUAAGCAGAACUGGCGAUGCGGGAUGAACCGAGAGCUAAGCUAAGGUGCCAAACAACACGUUAACAGAUACCACAAAAGGUGUCGGUUGAUCAAGACAGCAGGACGGUGUCCCUAGCAGUAGGAAUCCGCUAAGGAUUGUGUUACAACUCACCUGCCAAAUUAACCGGCCCUGAAAAUGGAUGGCGCUUAAACGUGUGACCGAUGCUUGGCCUUUACUACUAGAAAUGUUAGUAAAGGGUAGAAGGGCGCAGCGGUAGUGACCAAGUGUAAAGCGUGAGCUUACAUGAAACUGCCGUUGGUGUAGAUCUUGGUGGUAGUAGCAACUAUAAAAGUGAGAAUUAACCUUUUAGGCCGAAGUGGAGAAGGGUUCCACGUGAACAGCAAUUGGACGUGGGUUAGUCGGUCCUAAG
RNAcentral lists this ribosomal RNA (1624 nucleotides) under Enteromyxum scophthalmi. Its description in RNAcentral is "eukaryotic LSU rRNA". It matches the Rfam family "Eukaryotic large subunit ribosomal RNA", at positions 1 to 1549 of the family's 3401-position model. Lineage: Eukaryota; Metazoa; Cnidaria; Myxozoa; Bivalvulida; Enteromyxidae. The record is from RNAcentral.